Molecule: ribosomal RNA, 459 nt
Filed under: uncultured bacterium
Lineage: Bacteria
Description: partial 16S ribosomal RNA
Rfam family: Bacterial small subunit ribosomal RNA
Source: RNAcentral
CCUACGGGUGGCAGCAGUGAGGAAUAUUGGUCAAUGGCCGGAAGGCUGAACCAGCCAUGCCGCGUGAAGGUCAGUGCCCUAUGGGCGUUAAACUUCUUUUAUAGGGGAAUAAAGGUAUCCACGUGUGGAUAUUUGCAUGUACCCUAUGAAUAAGCAUCGGCUAACUCCGUGCCAGCAGCCGCGGUAAUACGGAGGAUGCGAGCGUUAUCCGGAUUUAUUGGGUUUAAAGGGUGCGUAGGUUGUUUUUUAAGUCAGCGGUGAAAGUUUGUGGCUCAACCAUAAAAUUGCCGUUGAAACUGGAAGACUUGAGUGUGUUUGAGGUAGGCGGAAUGCGUGGUGUAGCGGUGAAAUGCAUAGAUAUCACGCAGAACUCCGAUUGCGAAGGCAGCUUACUAAGCCAUAACUGACACUGAAGCACGAAAGCGUGGGGAUCAAACAGGAUUAGAUACCCCGGUAGUC